This is a long non-coding RNA of Podarcis muralis (Common wall lizard), 818 nucleotides long. RefSeq lists it as uncharacterized. The record is from RefSeq and is a predicted model, not a curated record. NCBI's taxonomy places the organism in Eukaryota, Metazoa, Chordata, Lepidosauria, Squamata, Lacertidae.
CACUACGUUGAUUUCACAGACAGAUUGGAACCGAAGGAGUCCAGGCACCAAUGAGGCAGCGCUUCGCUUAGGAAAUACCAGGGUUUCCCUAGCAACAGGUUGAAAGCUUAGAAUUAUAGCUAGGAAACCAUGGGGUUUCCCUAGCUACGGACAGCUACUGACGAGCGUAAGAGCAUCACUCAGCUCAGCCUGGCAGUGCAAAAGCACCCUCAAACGUUUGCUUUCCCCUCCUCUCCUUGCUGCAAUAUACGAACAGAGCAAGUAGUAAUCCAUGUUUCCAUGGAUUUUGGAAGCAACUGAUAGAAGAGGUGUGUCUGUGAAGAUGUUUUGCAGCAGAAUCUGGGCUCCCAAACAGCAAAUUUCUGAUGGAAACAGCCGGCUUGAGGAGCUAGGAGCAUGGCUGAGUGGUUAACUCUCCAUGCCCAUCAAAAAGUUUGAAAGGUUUUGGAGACUAAUAAGCUGAGAGCUGUGGGUCUGUUGCUGAAAUCCAGCGUGGAUAGGGGCCUUGUAUUCCAACCUCCUGCUUGAUGCAAGAAACCUGAAGCAAGAACAGCCUGAGCAGCCUCUUCCUGAACCUCACCAAAGAGAAGCCCACUCUUGCUCAGCCAUGCUGUCUGAUCUGGAAGCUUUGUUCCACAAUUCUGGAUGUGUGGUACUGCAAGGCUGUUAGAAGGAAAAGAUACCCUGUGGGCUUUAGCCAGUGGUUGCUUUGCCAUAGUGAAAAGUGCUUCUGCUUUCGCAAGAUGGACACCCCAUUUUCACGAAUCCCCACUGAACGUGACUUUUUCUUGCAGAACACAAGCUGGACACAAGAGUAA